AGAGUUUGAUCCUGGCUCAGGAUAAAACGCUGGCGGCGUGCCUAACACAUGCAAGUCGAACGCAGCCGAGGCAACUCGGCUGAGUGGCGGACGGGUGAGUAACACGUAGGUGAUCUACCCCGCGGUGAGGAAUACCGGCGAGAAAUCGCCGACAAGACCGCAUAGGCUCCGCAAGGAGCAAAGUCGCAAGACGCCGAGGGAUGAGCCUGCGCCCGAUUAGCUGGUUGGUGAGGUAAGAGCUCACCAAGGCUGCGAUCGGUAGCUGGUCUGAGAGGACGAGCAGCCACACUGGGAUUGAGAACGGCCCAGACUCCUACGGGGGGCAGCAGUGAGGAAUUUUCGGCAAUGGGGGCAACCCUGACCGAGCAACGCCGCGUGCAGGAAGACGCUUUUCGGAGUGUAAACUGCUUUACUGGGGGACGAGAACGGACGGUACCCCAGCAACCAGCCUCGGCUAACUACGUGCCAGCAGCCGCGGUAAUACGUAGGAGGCGAGCGUUGUCCGGAGUUAUUGGGCGUAAAGCGCCCGCAGGCGGUCUACCGCGUUUAGGGUUCCAGCUGUCGGCUUAACCGGCAGAGUGCCUUGAAGACGGGUAGACUCGAGGGCCAGAGAGGGACAGAGAAUUCCGGGUGGAGUGGUGAAAUGCGUAGAGAUCCGGAGGAAUACCAAAGGCGAAGGCACUGUCCUGGCUGGUACCUGACGCUCAGGGGCGAAAGCUAGGGGAGCGAACGGGAUUAGAUACCCCGGUAGUCCUAGCCGUAAACGAUGACCACUAGGUGUGGGAGGUAUCGACCCCUUCCGUGCCGACGCUAACGCAUGAAGUGGUCCGCCUGGGGAGUACGGUCGCAAGAUUAAAACUCAAAGGAAUUGACGG
This 875-nucleotide ribosomal RNA is filed under the name uncultured bacterium. Its description in RNAcentral is "bacterial SSU rRNA". It matches the Rfam family "Bacterial small subunit ribosomal RNA", at positions 8 to 916 of the family's 1533-position model. The record is from RNAcentral.